UCCUGGAGAGCUUCGUCAGAGGAACAUCAGACUUUUAAUCUGAGGGUCCAGGGUUCAUGUCCCAGUCCAGGGG
RNAcentral lists this transfer RNA (73 nucleotides) under Neotoma lepida (desert woodrat). It matches the Rfam family "tRNA". Rfam says of the family: Transfer RNA (tRNA) molecules are approximately 80 nucleotides in length. Their secondary structure includes four short double-helical elements and three loops (D, anti-codon, and T loops). Further hydrogen bonds mediate the characteristic L-shaped molecular structure. tRNAs have two regions of fundamental functional importance: the anti-codon, which is responsible for specific mRNA codon recognition, and the 3' end, to which the tRNAs corresponding amino acid is attached (by aminoacyl-tRNA synthetases). tRNAs cope with the degeneracy of the genetic code in two manners: having more than one tRNA (with a specific anti-codon) for a particular amino acid; and 'wobble' base-pairing, i.e. permitting non-standard base-pairing at the 3rd anti-codon position. The record is from Rfam by way of RNAcentral. Lineage: Eukaryota; Metazoa; Chordata; Mammalia; Rodentia; Cricetidae.